This 547-nucleotide ribosomal RNA is filed under the name uncultured Bacillus sp. Its description in RNAcentral is "bacterial SSU rRNA". It matches the Rfam family "Bacterial small subunit ribosomal RNA", at positions 70 to 600 of the family's 1533-position model. Lineage: Bacteria; Bacillati; Bacillota; Bacilli; Caryophanales; Bacillaceae. The record is from RNAcentral.
GAUUAAGAGCUUGCUCUUAUGAAGUUAGCGGCGGACGGGUGAGUAACACGUGGGUAACCUGCCCAUAAGACUGGGAUAACUCCGGGAAACCGGGGCUAAUACCGGAUAACAUUUUGAACUGCAUGGUUCGAAAUUGAAAGGCGGCUUCGGCUGUCACUUAUGGAUGGACCCGCGUCGCAUUAGCUAGUUGGUGAGGUAACGGCUCACCAAGGCAACGAUGCGUAGCCGACCUGAGAGGGUGAUCGGCCACACUGGGACUGAGACACGGCCCAGACUCCUACGGGAGGCAGCAGUAGGGAAUCUUCCGCAAUGGACGAAAGUCUGACGGAGCAACGCCGCGUGAGUGAUGAAGGCUUUCGGGUCGUAAAACUCUGUUGUUAGGGAAGAACAAGUGCUAGUUGAAUAAGCUGGCACCUUGACGGUACCUAACCAGAAAGCCACGGCUAACUACGUGCCAGCAGCCGCGGUAAUACGUAGGUGGCAAGCGUUAUCCGGAAUUAUUGGGCGUAAAGCGCGCGCAGGUGGUUUCUUAAGUCUGAUGUGAAAG